GUGCUGCUGGAGUAGUGGUGUCAUGCAAGAUUCCCAUUCUUUUGACCGGGGUUCGAUUCCCAGGCGGCGCA
Molecule: non-coding RNA, 71 nt
Organism: Cricetulus griseus (Chinese hamster)
Lineage: Eukaryota; Metazoa; Chordata; Mammalia; Rodentia; Cricetidae
Source: Rfam